This 216-nucleotide ribosomal RNA is filed under the name Campeiostachys nutans. RNAcentral's name for it is "Elymus nutans partial small subunit ribosomal RNA". The stretch from base 40 to 216 matches the Rfam family "Eukaryotic small subunit ribosomal RNA", at positions 686 to 864 of the family's 1831-position model. The record is from RNAcentral. Lineage: Eukaryota; Viridiplantae; Streptophyta; Magnoliopsida; Poales; Poaceae.
GGGUUAGUAGGUUGGUCAUGCCUCUGGUAUGUACUGGUCUCACUGAUUCCUCCCUCCUGAUGAACCUUAAUGCCAUUAAUUUGGUGUUAUGGGGAGUUAGGACUGUUACUUUGAAAAAAUUAGAGUGUUUAAAGCAAGCUAACGCUUGAAUACAUUAGCAUGGAAUAAUGAAAUAGGACGUUCGAUCCUAUUUUGUUGGUUUCUAGGAUUGACGUA